RNA transcript from Musca domestica (house fly), 3579 nucleotides. It is a transcript of the gene named F-box only protein 33, with no coding region annotated. The transcript is spliced from 8 exons. NCBI's taxonomy places the organism in Eukaryota, Metazoa, Arthropoda, Insecta, Diptera, Muscidae. The record is from RefSeq and is a predicted model, not a curated record.
AAAAUCGCGACUCCACGGACGGCCGUAAUUAACAUUUACGUCUGAUUGCAAAAUAAAACAACUGCUGUAUUUUACUAUUUUGGGCACAUCGUCGCAUACAAACAUACGUACUAUAUUUACGUUGCCUGGCUGGCUGGCCCUGUGUCUGUUUAUUGUUUGGUGGGGGUCUGUUCGGAAACAACAAUUACUGAAAAAUACCAACAAACAAAACAACUUUUUCUGUGACGUAUACGUCGAACUGCCAAUUUCCCAUAUAUUAUUGCGGGUCUGCUGUGACUACUGUCUUGUUGUUGUUCACUAUUUUGUGUUGCGUUGUGUGCUGGCUGUUUUGUUUUUGGAACUGCAUACACUUGAUUUAUACCACAACAACAACGACAUUUUCUACUCCUUAUAUUGGACACCAUUUUCGAAAAGCAGCUCGAAGAAAUUCAGCAACAACAACGAACGAAUUUUUAUCUUGAACAAAACUGAACGAAGAACAACAAAUUUCCAUUUUAUUCAGUUUUGCACUUGCGAAGAAGAAACGAUCCUAUUAUUACGCUGUACGGAAAACAUUUGUGAAUACAUUUUGGAACAAAUUUCUAGUGAGGAAAAAGAACAUAGCAGUUGCUUUAAAAGGUCCAUUGUGUGCCAGGUGCACACAAUUUGCUGCGUAGCCUACACAGUGUGACAAAACUUUUUAGUUUGCCAUCCUCCAUAUCCUGGAUAUGAAUAAUCGUAGUUCAGCAGAAUGGGGAGAACUACCAUCAUUGGUAUUGGGCCAGAUUUACGAAUACUUGGAGCCGCGUGAUCGACUAAAUGCCAGUCAGAGCUGCAAACAUUGGCGCAGUGUAUUAUUCCAAAAGAGAUUCUUCACCAAUUUUAAACUCAAACUAAAUAUUGACAACGAUCGUCAGUGUAAAUUUUUUCGCCAUACUUUAUACAAUCUGACGAGCGAGCUUAUUAUUAUUUUUGAUUUCAUCAAUGUUUUCCAUAUUGAAAAGAUACGACGCAUCUUAUACAGAAUUGCACGAUGUGAUAAUUUACAAGGUUUACGUUUUCAAACAAAUAAUGUUGGUUUAACACCACCAGGUGAUAUCAGUGAAGAAAAUCUAGUCGACAUAGAACAACUCUUUGUUGAACCAUUGAAAGUAUUUUUAAAUCGCAAGCGAACACCUUGCAAUAUUUUGGAUUUAGGUGCAAUUGAAGCUUUAACAUACUAUGGUUUGGACUUUUUGAAAUCUCUGAGCCGGCCUCAAGAUCUAAAAGAGCUGACCUUGGCCUCCAUAAAAUACGAUCCUAGUCAUUAUCCCAUGUUCGCCAUGGAGAAUAAGUUGAUACAAAAGUGUACAUCAUUGCAAGUGCUUUCACUGGAUUAUGACACCCUUAACGAAGAACUACUGCAUGCAUUAAAGAUUUUACCACUCAAAAAAUUUUUAAUUUGUGUACAUGGUUUGGAUCGUCAUCAUCCGGGUAUAUCUGAACGAACUUGGGCUGAAUUCUCGGCAAAUUUCAAUAAUAUUGAAUUAAUUGUAUCACUUAUUUAUGCCUAUGAAGCCGUUGAAGUUCUACAGAUGCGUAUUUUGCGUCAAAAUAUGCCCAUAACUCAUUUGAGAGUAUUGUUUUGUGAUUAUAUGAAUGUUGAAGCAUUGGAAUGGAUUUCAUUAAACAAUAGUGCCACUUUAAAGAGUAUACAAUGGAUUGAUUCCGCCUACAAACAUUCCGAUAAUAAUAUAAUGGACUUAUUUUUACGCACUGGUCAGGAUCCACUUGUCAUGAUGUCAUGGCGCUGCAAAAAUCUGGAGGAAAUUGUUAUCCAUGGCUAUAUUUUGGAUCCACACAACAUUGUGGGCAUUUCUCGUUUACGCGGUCGUACCUUGAAACGUCUGGAGGUAUCAAUGAUUGAUACCGCACCGAAUGAGGCCAGUAUGGAUUCAUUUAUUGAGGAAAUCAAUACAUUAUUAGGCCAAAAAUGGGAGCCUCUUAAUCUCAACAAUACGCAUCCAGCCCUUGGUUAUAUGCCAGUAGCUGAUGAUGUGCGUGAUGAAUAUGUCUUCGAUCUCAUACGACGUGAUAUUUCUAAUUAGAAACGAAAAAUAAUAUAAACUAAUCUAAACUAAAUCAUUGACUUGAUUUAAAAAAUGGCAACUUAAAAAGCAACAACACAAAAUGGAAAUUCAACACAAAUAAAAUCAUUAGUUAUUUAAUAUAGAAAAGCAAAAGAAACAGCAACACGUUUAACAACAUUUAAUGUUAAGCAAAAAUCCCAUCAGCCGCAUGAAAAUAACAACGUCAGCAAAAAAUAUCCCCAAUAAUUUCAAUUGCGAAAUAAGCCAAGUCAUGCAAACUUAAAACGACGUGAAAACUCCAACAGAUGAAAGAAUAACUACCAACAUCAUCAUCAGCCUGCCUGCCUAUCCAGCACAGCAGGUUUUGUAAGAGAGUAACAAAUGGCUAUAAUAUUAACUUAGAUUAUAGAAAUGUAACAUGAAUAUCCAUAGACAGAAAUGUCCCUUUCCCCUCAAAAUCCAACACAAAAGAACAAAAUGUUGUUUUAUAUUAAAAAGAAAAACAAAAACAACAAGAAACAAACAUCUAACAACAUUUGCAAAACAAAACCAACAAAAAAUGAAAAGAACAUUAAAAUGUAUUUAAAACUGAAAAGACUUAAGCACUUCACAAAUUGUGGCGUACAACGACGAAAUUGUGAAACCUGCUAUAAAAACAACAACAACAAACAAACAAACAAAUGCAACAAAAACACUAAUUUGUAUUAAUACAGACAACAAGAAAACAUCAAACUGUGAUUAAAAAUGAAAGCCAUCUUAAAUAGAGAAUACAAAAAAACUAAUUAGCAAACAAAACAAACUACAACAGUAAAUGCAGAGCGACAGUAGCGAGAGCUAUGUUAAAAUCUAAAGCAAUUAACAAUUAUUUUAGGGAAAUGAUAACACCUUGUUAGUAGUAAUGAAGAAAGUAAAUAAGGAAGAAGAUGAAAAUCAAAAAAUAUAAAAUCCUUGAAAUCUACUAAGGCUCUAAAAAUGCCUGCAAACUCUCUUUGCUUUCCUCUGUACACUUUUUUAAUUUUUCUUUAGAUUUUAUGUUUAUAUUUUUUUUAUUAUAGAAAAUCUUUGUUAGACCAAGGAACAUUUAUACAAUCCAUAACUGUUUUAGGAUAUGUCAAAUAUAUUUUUAGUAUUGAAUAUUGAAAAAUCAUUAAUACCAUAAACAUGCCCACAUAACAAAGCAGUUCCAUUAGAAAACCAAUCCAAAAAAGAAAAAGCUAUACAUUAAAUAAAUUUCUUUUUAUUAAGACAAACAAAAACAAACAAUAAGCUCAAAAAAGAAUAUCCCUGUUAUGUUAAACAAAAAAAGAAAGAAAAAAAAAAAACAAAAUUGUGAUUUAUACAGGCAUUAUUUAAAUUAUUACUUAAAAACAAAAAACAUAUGCACAUACAUCUUUGUUGUAAUUUUAUAACAACUAAACCAUAACAUUAUGAUUACCAAAAACCAGUGGUCAUGUAUAGAAGACUCAAAAAUACAAGCAACCAUCAUGUGUGGGACAACAAGAAAUUUGACCAAAAUUAAAAAAAAAAACAA